UUUGAUCAGCAGUUAUGAGGGCAUUGGUGGUUUGGCCUGGGGCAAUCAAAAUAGUGUCCGUUUUGAAUGGUUUCACAUAGGUAGCAUCUACUUCCACAACUGUGAGCUUGUGCCCAGCAAUCUUGAAGAAGAGCUCCUCAUUGAGUGCAGCAUUGAUUAUGCGCAGUAAGUAGAACAAUUUGAAAUGGGUCCUGAAUGACCAUUGAUUGUGUGAGCAUCUGAUACAUUUGGAGCUAAUCCUGAUUUGAGAGCUUCAUUGAUCACGGCUUCGGUGUCGGAUUUCCACCACUCAGCUAUAAGCAGGAUCAUGUUUUAGAACCAAAUCAGUCAGUUUCAAGUGAAGAUAAAAAAGGACGCCAAAGAUCGAUGUUGUUUUACUUUCAAACUUACUUACCUAAUACAACGACGACUUCUUUGUUCGGAGCUGGGAAUGGAUAUGGAACGCCGAGCUUGGGCAAGAUGACCAAAGCACCAUGGACAGUCGCCCUCAGCCAAAGAAUAUGUGCGUGCCAAAGAAGGGUGCCUCUUUGGCCUGUAACGGUGAAGUUAUACAAAUAGCUUUGCCCUGAUGGGAUGGGACAUUGUGUAAUGUAUGCUGGUCCAUCCGCCCAACCGGUUCGAAGCUGCCGAACUCCAUGCCUGAACAGAAAAAGAAAGUAAGCAAGCAAGCAUCAUCCUUCACUUACUCUACAUAUUAUUACAAGUCAUUUAUUCUUAUGUUUCAUCACAUAAGAGAAAAGAAAUAGAAUUUUUGAAGGAAGACUCACCAGUGAAUGGAAAGGUUGUAUUGAACGUGGUUAACAACAUUAAUAAGCACUGUGUCAUCUUCCCUAGCAUAGAUGGUGGGACCUGGAAACUUCCCAUUAACGGUGACGAUUUGCUUACUGGAACAGAGUUUGGUAGUAUUUUUUAAAACCACCUGCCAUUAACAUAACAGAAUAAGAAUUUGAAUCCCCAAGUACGUCGGGCUUGUCCUUAUUUCAGAAAGUACACAGUAAAGAUUGACGGGUCAGUUGAAAUGAUGAAUAAAAAAAACCAUAUGAUAUGUCGUCAGCAUAGAUUAUAUAAAUAAAUUUGGCCUAAACAUUAUAAAGUUGGUCAUGAAGAUCUUUGAAAGUUCUGUAACUUUCUGAAAGACAAACGAAACCUUUUGAAUAUUUAAAAUGAAAGAAAAGCUUAUACUCUGUCUUCCCAUAUCAUUUUUUAAUUGAAAAAGUGAACAAGAACAUGAACAAAGCUAGCAAUUGUGUGUCAAAAGGGUCCUGCCUUUUGCUUGUGAAUUAUAUAAAAGAACCAACACUUACAUCGAAUUUGUAAUGCCGAACUCGGCAUUCGACCAAAGCUGGGAAAAUGCAGGCCAACAGAACCAAAACUCGAAAUAUUAAACUCAUAUUUCUCUCUUUUCUCUCCCUCUAUUGGUUAUUGGCCUUGUUUAGAUGUGGGGAAUGAAUAACAGAGAAUCCUCCCUUAUAUAAAGCUUAGCUGAAAUGUCAUUUUUGCAUGGUAGGUGAAUGAUAGAGCUAUAGUUUCUCUUAGGUCUCAAGAUUUCUUGAACAAUUUUCUCUUGUUUGUAUUUCAAUGAUACCUUACAUCUCACAUAAAGUUGCUUUUUUUUUCCUCUGAUGGACUAACGGGUGUAGUUCUGGAAGCCAAGAAACUCCCACAGGAAACCAACUCAUUCCUGAACACUAAUGUAUUAGGUGUUGGUUGCUUGUAUACUAUGAAACAAUUUAUUCAUAUUUUAUCUACAUAAUUCACAUUUUAGAAUGACUCUUGUUCUAGCCAUCGAGAUAGGCGUAUGUUUCCUGUCGUUCUUCACAUGACGGAAACGUUAUGCUCAAGAAUGGUUUUAACUCAGGUAAUUCAGAUUUGUGAAUGUAUACAAUUACUGUAAUAUAUGUUUGAUAUAAGCAAAUUGAAAAAUGUCAGGGUGAAGGAGGUGAAUACUGAAUAAUAUGGUUAGAGAGAGGUUAGCUUUAGAGAUUAGAAAUUAAAAAAAAAAAGUUAGAUUAAUAAUAUUUGGUUGUCAUUUUCAGAGUUCUGGUAAAGAGGAAAAGGAAGAGAAAGUGCAGAGAUGAGAUGAAGGUAUGUUGCAUUCUCAAGUAAGAUAGAAAAUUGAUAUUUUGCAAAAAAGUUAAUUGAAUUUAUCCAUUCAAAUAUAUUUAUAUUAUUUUGUUGUUGAGAAAUGGCUUUCAAGUCAGCUUCAAAUUAGUAACCCAACUAAUGGUUUCCAUCUUGAAUGCUUAAAACUAAACCAUUGGUGGGUAUGUGUGUAUCUUCUCUCUCUAGUAAGUGAAAAAAUAAAAUUAGUAAUUUGAAUUUUGGGUUUUGGAA
Molecule: long non-coding RNA, 2334 nt
Organism: Cucumis sativus (cucumber)
Lineage: Eukaryota; Viridiplantae; Streptophyta; Magnoliopsida; Cucurbitales; Cucurbitaceae
Exons: 2
Source: RefSeq, a predicted model, not a curated record